This 853-nucleotide ribosomal RNA is filed under the name uncultured bacterium. RNAcentral's name for it is "bacterial SSU rRNA". It matches the Rfam family "Bacterial small subunit ribosomal RNA", at positions 59 to 894 of the family's 1533-position model. The record is from RNAcentral.
CAGUCGAACGCCAGCGAAAGGUGCUUGCACCUUUCAAGUGAGUGGCGAACGGGUGAGUAACACGUGGACAACCUGCCUCAAGGCUGGGGAUAACAUUUGGAAACAGAUGCUAAUACCGAAUGAAACUUAGUGUCGCAUGACACGAAGUUAAAAGGCGCUUUGGCGUCACCUAGAGAUGGAUCCGCGGUGCAUUAGUUAGUUGGUGGGGUAAAGGCCUACCAAGACAAUGAUGCAUAGCCGAGUUGAGAGACUGAUCGGCCACAUUGGGACUGAGACACGGCCCAAACUCCUACGGGAGGCUGCAGUAGGGAAUCUUCCACAAUGGGCGAAAGCCUGAUGGAGCAACGCCGCGUGUGUGAUGAAGGCUUUCGGGUCGUAAAGCACUGUUGUAUGGGAAGAACAGCUAGAAUAGGGAAUGAUUUUAGUUUGACGGUACCAUACCAGAAAGGGACGGCUAAAUACGUGCCAGCAGCCGCGGUAAUACGUAUGUCCCGAGCGUUAUCCGGAUUUAUUGGGCGUAAAGCGAGCGCAGACGGUUGAUUAAGCCUGAUGUGAAAGCCCGGAGCUCAACUCCGGAAUGGCAUUGGAAACUGGUUAACUUGAGUGCAGUAGAGGUAAGUGGAACUCCAUGUGUAGCGGUGGAAUGCGUAGAUAUAUGGAAGAACACCAGUGGCGAAGGCGGCUUACUGGACUGUAACUGACGUUGAGGCUCGAAAGUGUGGGUAGCAAACAGGAUUAGAUACCCUGGUAGUCCACACCGUAAACGAUGAACACUAGGUGUUAGGAGGUUUCCGCCUCUUAGUGCCGAAGCUAACGCAUUAAGUGUUCCGCCUGGGGAGUACGACCGCAAGGU